Molecule: transfer RNA, 77 nt
Filed under: Acidimicrobiales bacterium
Lineage: Bacteria; Bacillati; Actinomycetota; Acidimicrobiia; Acidimicrobiales
Also listed under: 1 other name
Description: tRNA-Pro
Rfam family: tRNA
About the family: Transfer RNA (tRNA) molecules are approximately 80 nucleotides in length. Their secondary structure includes four short double-helical elements and three loops (D, anti-codon, and T loops).
Source: RNAcentral
CGGGGAGUGGCGCAGCUUGGCAGCGCGCCUGCUUUGGGAGCAGGAGGUCGCCGGUUCGAAUCCGGUCUCCCCGACCA